Molecule: ribosomal RNA, 484 nt
Filed under: uncultured bacterium
Lineage: Bacteria
Description: partial 16S ribosomal RNA
Rfam family: Bacterial small subunit ribosomal RNA
Source: RNAcentral
AUUGAACGCUGGCGGCAGGCCUAACACAUGCAAGUCGAGCGGAUGAAGGGAGCUUGCUCCUGGAUUCAGCGGCGGACGGGUGAGUAAUGCCUAGGAAUCUGCCUGGUAGUGGGGGAUAACGUCCGGAAACGGGCGCUAAUACCGCAUACGUCCUGAGGGAGAAAGUGGGGGAUCUUCGGACCUCACGCUAUCAGAUGAGCCUAGGUCGGAUUGGCUAGUUGGUGGGGUAAAGGCCUACCAAGGCGACGAUCCGUAACUGGUCUGAGAGGAUGAUCAGUCACACUGGAACUGAGACACGGUCCAGACUCCUACGGGAGGCAGCAGUGGGGAAUAUUGGACGAUGGGCGAAAGCCUGAUCCAGCCAUGCCGCGUGUGUGAAGAAGGUCUUCGGAUUGUAAAGCACUUUAAGUUGGGAGGAAGGGCAGUAAGUUAAUACCUUGCUGUUUUGACGUUACCAACAGAAUAAGCACCGGCUAACUUCGUG